CGAACGGGUGAGUAACGCGUGAGGAACCUGCCUCAAAGAGGGGACAACAGUUGGAAACGACUGCUAAUACCGCAUAAGCCCACGACCCGGCAUCGGGUAGAGGGAAAAGGAGCAAUCCGCUUUGAGAUGGCCUCGCGUCCGAUUAGCUAGUUGGUGAGGUAACGGCCCACCAAGGCGACGAUCGGUAGCCGGACUGAGAGGUUGAACGGCCACAUUGGGACUGAGACACGGCCCAG
RNAcentral lists this ribosomal RNA (236 nucleotides) under uncultured bacterium. Its description in RNAcentral is "partial 16S ribosomal RNA". It matches the Rfam family "Bacterial small subunit ribosomal RNA", at positions 99 to 334 of the family's 1533-position model. The record is from RNAcentral.